Small nucleolar RNA from Heterocephalus glaber (naked mole-rat), 67 nucleotides. Lineage: Eukaryota; Metazoa; Chordata; Mammalia; Rodentia; Bathyergidae. The record is from Ensembl.
UGAAUCGAUGAUGACCAUGGUGACAUGAGUCAGACGAUGAGUACAUGUCUGGAACUCUGAGGUCCAU